RNAcentral lists this ribosomal RNA (558 nucleotides) under uncultured bacterium. Its description in RNAcentral is "partial 16S ribosomal RNA". It matches the Rfam family "Bacterial small subunit ribosomal RNA", at positions 354 to 924 of the family's 1533-position model. The record is from RNAcentral.
UGGGGGAAUAUUGGACAAUGGGGGGCAACCCCUGAUCCAGCCAUGCCGCGUGAGUGAUGAAGGCCUUCGGGUUGUAAAGCUCUUUUGGGCGGGGACGAUGAUGACGGUACCCGCAGAAUAAGCCCCGGCUAACUUCGUGCCAGCAGCCGCGGUAAGACGAAGGGGGCUAGCGUUGUUCGGAAUUACUGGGCGUAAAGCGAGUGUAGGCGGUUGCCGUAGUCAGGUGUGAAAGCCUUGAGCUCAACUCAAGAAAUGCACUUGAUACUGGGUGACUAGAGGACCGGAGAGGGAUAGUGGAAUUCCCCAGUGUAGUGGUGAAAUACGUAGAGAUUGGGAAGAACACCAGUGGCGAAGGCGGCUAUCUGGACGGUUACUGACGCUAAGACUCGAAAGCGUGGGGAGCAAACAGGAUUAGAUACCCUGGUAGUCCACGCCGUAAACGAUGGGUGCUAGACGUUGGCGAGCUUGCUCGUCAGUGUCGCAGCUAACGCGUUAAGCACCCCCGCCUGGGGAGUACGGCCGCAAGGUUGAAANUCAAAUGAAUUGCGGGGGUCUAGC